GAUGAACGCUGGCGGUGUGCCUAAUACAUGCAAGUCGAACGGGCUCUUCGGAGCUAGUGGCGGACGGGUGAGUAACACGUUGGUACCUACCCCUAAGUGGGGAAUAACUGCCCGAAAGGGUGGCUAAUACCGCAUAAUCCCGCAAGGGUAAAGCAGUAAUGCGCUUAGGGAGGGGCCUGCGUCUGAUUAGCUAGUUGGUGAGGUAGUUGCUCACCAAGGCGACGAUCAGUAGCNGGAUCGAGAGGUUGACCAGCCACACUGGGACUGAGAUACGGCCCAGACUCCUACGGGAGGCAGCAGUAAGGAAUCUUCCACAAUGGACGAAAGUCUGAUGGAGC
This 338-nucleotide ribosomal RNA is filed under the name uncultured bacterium. Its description in RNAcentral is "bacterial SSU rRNA". It matches the Rfam family "Bacterial small subunit ribosomal RNA", at positions 28 to 392 of the family's 1533-position model. The record is from RNAcentral.